AUUGAACGCUGGCGGCAGGCCUAACACAUGCAAGUCGAACGGUAACAGGAAACAGCUUGCUGUUUCGCUGACGAGUGGCGGACGGGUGAGUAAUGUCUGGGAAACUGCCUGAUGGAGGGGGAUAACUACUGGAAACGGUAGCUAAUACCGCAUAACGUCGCAAGACCAAAGAGGGGGACCUUCGGGCCUCUUGCCAUCGGAUGUGCCCAGAUGGGAUUAGCUAGUAGGUGGGGUAACGGCUCACCUAGGCGACGAUCCCUAGCUGGUCUGAGAGGAUGACCAGCCACACUGGAACUGAGACACGGUCCAGACUCCUACGGGAGGCAGCAGUGGGGAAUAUUGCACAAUGGGCGCAAGCCUGAUGCAGCCAUGCCGCGUGUAUGAAGAAGGCCUUCGGGUUGUAAAGUACUUUCAGCGGGGAGGAAGGGGGUAAAGUUAAUACCUUUGCUCAUUGACGUUACCCGCAGAAGAAGCACCGGCUAACUCCGUG
This 490-nucleotide ribosomal RNA is filed under the name uncultured bacterium. RNAcentral describes it as "partial 16S ribosomal RNA". It matches the Rfam family "Bacterial small subunit ribosomal RNA", at positions 30 to 507 of the family's 1533-position model. The record is from RNAcentral.